This 490-nucleotide ribosomal RNA is filed under the name uncultured bacterium. Its description in RNAcentral is "partial 16S ribosomal RNA". It matches the Rfam family "Bacterial small subunit ribosomal RNA", at positions 29 to 505 of the family's 1533-position model. The record is from RNAcentral.
AGUGAACGCUGGCGGUAGGCCUAACACAUGCAAGUCGAACGGCAGCACAGUAAGAGCUUGCUCUUACGGGUGGCGAGUGGCGGACGGGUGAGGAAUACAUCGGAAUCUACUUUUUCGUGGGGGAUAACGUAGGGAAACUUACGCUAAUACCGCAUACGACCUACGGGUGAAAGCAGGGGAUCUUCGGACCUUGCGCGAUUGAAUGAGCCGAUGUCGGAUUAGCUAGUUGGCGGGGUAAAGGCCCACCAAGGCGACGAUCCGUAGCUGGUCUGAGAGGAUGAUAAGCCACACUGGAACUGAGACACGGUCCAGACUCCUGCGGGAGGCAGCAGUGGGGAAUAUUGGACAAUGGGCGCAAGCCUGAUCCAGCCAUACCGCGUGGGUGAAGAAGGCCUUCGGGUUGUAAAGCCCUUUUGUUGGGAAAGAAAAGCAGCAGGUUAAUACCCCGCUGUUCUGACGGUACCCAAAGAAUAAGCACCGGCUAACUUCG